RNAcentral lists this ribosomal RNA (915 nucleotides) under uncultured Olsenella sp. Its description in RNAcentral is "bacterial SSU rRNA". It matches the Rfam family "Bacterial small subunit ribosomal RNA", at positions 8 to 949 of the family's 1533-position model. Lineage: Bacteria; Bacillati; Actinomycetota; Coriobacteriia; Coriobacteriales; Atopobiaceae. The record is from RNAcentral.
AGAGUUUGAUCCUGGCUCAGGAUGAACGCUAGCUACAGGCUUAACACAUGCAAGUCGAGGGGUAACGACAGUAAAGCUUGCUUUAUUGGGCGACGACCGGCGAAUGGGUGCGUAACGCGUAUCCAACCUGCCCUUCACACUGGGAUAGUCUCCCGAAAGAGAGGUUAACCCCGGAUAGUGUCAUUGUGACGCAUGUUAUGGUGACUAAAUGUAUAAGGUGAAGGCUGGGGAUGCGUCCGAUUAGGCAGUUGGCGGGGUAACGGCCCACCAAACCCCACAUUGGAACUGAGACACGGUCCAAACUCCUACGGGAGGCAGCAGUGAGGAAUAUUGGUCAAUGGGCGAGAGCCUGAACCAGCCAAGUAGCGUGCGGGAGGAAGGCCCUAUGGGUUGUAAACCGCUUUUGCAGGGGGGUAAAAAGAGGUACGUGUACUUCAUUGCAAGUACCCUGCGAAUAAGGACCGGCUAAUUCCGUGCCAGCAGCCGCGGUAAUACGGAAGGUCCAGGUGUUAUCCGGAUUUAUUGGGUUUAAAGGGAGCGUAGGCGGGAGUUAAAGUCAGUUGUGAAAAGCCUGGGCCCAACUCAGGUCGUGCAGUUGAUACUAAAUUUCUUGAGUGCGCACGAGGAAGGUGGAAUUUGUGGUGUAGCGGUGAAAUGCAUAGAUAUCACGAAGAACUCCGAUUGCGAAGGCAGCCUUCCGGAGCGUUACUGACGCUGAGGCUCGAAGGUGCGGGUAUCAAACAGGAUUAGAUACCCUGGUAGUCCGCACAGUAAACGAUGGAUGCCGGCUGUAGGCGACAAAAUGUCUGUGGUUAGGCGAAAGCAUUAAGCAUCCCACCUGGGGAGUACGCCGGCAACGGUGAAACUCAAAGGAAUUGACGGGGGCCCGCACAAGCGGAGGAACAUGUGGUUUAA